UCCGAUGCUGAUGCCGCCUUUGAGUC
RNAcentral lists this non-coding RNA (26 nucleotides) under Mus musculus (house mouse). Lineage: Eukaryota; Metazoa; Chordata; Mammalia; Rodentia; Muridae. The record is from RNAcentral.